Molecule: ribosomal RNA, 254 nt
Filed under: uncultured bacterium
Lineage: Bacteria
Description: partial 16S ribosomal RNA
Rfam family: Bacterial small subunit ribosomal RNA
Source: RNAcentral
UACGUAGGUGGCAAGCGUUGUCCGGAUUUAUUGGGCGUAAAGAGCUCGUAGGCGGUCUGUCGCGUCUGCUGUGAAAUCCCGAGGCUCAACCUCGGGCUUGCAGUGGGUACGGGCAGGCUAGAGUGCGGUAGGGGGAGAAUGGAACUCCUGGUGUAGCGGUGGAAUGCGCAGAUAUCAGGAAGAACACCGAUGGCGAAGGCAGUUCUCUGGGCCGUAACUGACGCUGAGGAGCGAAAGCGUGGGGAGCGAACAGG